RNAcentral lists this transfer RNA (77 nucleotides) under bacterium HR41. RNAcentral's name for it is "tRNA-Ala". The record is from RNAcentral.
GGCGCCGUUGGCGCGCUUGCUGCGCGUCGCAGCUCGCAGCUGCGCGGCGUGCCGGUGCGGGGUCGGUCGCUGUCACC